UGUGGGAGCGGGCUUGCUCGCGAUGCAGACGGUGCGGUGUAUGCGAACAUCCGCGGCGAGGCCAUCGCGAGCAAGCCCGCUCCCACA
This 87-nucleotide non-coding RNA is filed under the name Pseudomonas psychrophila. The record is from RNAcentral. Lineage: Bacteria; Pseudomonadati; Pseudomonadota; Gammaproteobacteria; Pseudomonadales; Pseudomonadaceae.